GCCGGGCACAGUGGUGCAUGCCUGUAGUCCCAGCUACUGGGGAGGCUGAGGUGGGAGGAUCGCUUGAGCCCAGGAGUUCUGGGCUGUAGUGCACUAUGCCAAUCGGGUGUCCGCACUAAGUUUGGCAUCAAUAUGGUGACCUCCCGGGAGUGGGGGACCACCAGGUUGCCUAAGGAGGGGUGAACUGGCCCAGGUCAGAAACGGAGCAGGUCAAAACUCCCAAGCUGAUCAGUAAUGUGAUUGAGCCUGUGAAUAGCCACUGCACUCCAGCCUGGGCAACAUAGUGAGACCCCCAUCUCUU
This is an unclassified non-coding RNA of Callithrix jacchus (white-tufted-ear marmoset), 301 nucleotides long. It matches the Rfam family "Metazoan signal recognition particle RNA". From Rfam's summary of the family: The signal recognition particle (SRP) is a universally conserved ribonucleoprotein. It is involved in the co-translational targeting of proteins to membranes. The eukaryotic SRP consists of a 300-nucleotide 7S RNA and six proteins: SRPs 72, 68, 54, 19, 14, and 9. The record is from Ensembl. Lineage: Eukaryota; Metazoa; Chordata; Mammalia; Primates; Cebidae.